CCUACGGGGUGCAGCAGUGGGGAAUAUUGGGCAAUGGGCGCAAGCCUGACGCAGCAACGCCGCGUGAAGGAAGAAGGCUUUCGGGUUGUAAACUUCUUUUGAGAGGGAAGAGCAGAAGACGGUACCUCUUGAAUGAGCCACGGCUAACUACGUGCCAGCAGCCGCGGUAAUAGGGAGGUGGCAAGCGUUGUCCGGAUUUACUGGGUGUAAAGGGCGUGCAGCCGGGAGGACAAGUCAGAUGUGAAAUCCCGCGGCUCAACCGCGGAACUGCAUUUGAAACUGUUUUUCUUGAGUACCGGAGAGGUAAUCGGAAUUCUUGGUGUAGCGGUGAAAUGCGUAGAGAUAAGGAAGAACACUAGUGGCGAAGGCGGAUGACUGGACCGCAACUGACGGUGAGGCGCGAAAGCGUGGGGAGCAAACAGGAUUAGAUACCCCUGUAGUC
This 442-nucleotide ribosomal RNA is filed under the name uncultured bacterium. Its description in RNAcentral is "partial 16S ribosomal RNA". It matches the Rfam family "Bacterial small subunit ribosomal RNA", at positions 338 to 795 of the family's 1533-position model. The record is from RNAcentral.